UACGAGGGGGGCGAGCGUUGUUCGGAAUUAUUGGGCGUAAAGGGUGCGUAGGCGGUUUGGUAAGUCUUAUGUGAAAUCUACAGGCUCAACUUGUAGUCUGCAUGAGAAACUGCCGGGCUUGAGUAUGGGAGAGGUGAGUGGAAUUCCUGGUGUAGCGGUGAAAUGCGUAGAUAUCAGGAGGAACACCUGUGGCGAAAGCGGCUCACUGGACCAUAACUGACGCUGAGGAGCGAAAGCGUGGGGAGCGAACAGG
RNAcentral lists this ribosomal RNA (253 nucleotides) under uncultured bacterium. RNAcentral's name for it is "partial 16S ribosomal RNA". It matches the Rfam family "Bacterial small subunit ribosomal RNA", at positions 524 to 776 of the family's 1533-position model. The record is from RNAcentral.